UCCCGGAUAGCUCAGUCGGUAGAGCAUGAGACUCUUAAUCUCAGCGUCGUGGGCUUGAGCCCCACAUUGGGCG
RNAcentral lists this transfer RNA (73 nucleotides) under Callipepla squamata (scaled quail). It matches the Rfam family "tRNA". Rfam says of the family: Transfer RNA (tRNA) molecules are approximately 80 nucleotides in length. Their secondary structure includes four short double-helical elements and three loops (D, anti-codon, and T loops). The record is from Rfam by way of RNAcentral. Lineage: Eukaryota; Metazoa; Chordata; Aves; Galliformes; Odontophoridae.